GCUAGAUUGGCAGGGCACGAUCUAUAGGUACAAGCAUCAUUAAAGAUUUUUGAUGGUGUGGAUCUACCCUUAAAUGUAUAAUGAUACAGGUAAUAGAUUCAUAAUCCAAUACAUGGAUUGAAAGGGUGAAUAUUA
Molecule: long non-coding RNA, 135 nt
Organism: Populus euphratica (Euphrates poplar)
Lineage: Eukaryota; Viridiplantae; Streptophyta; Magnoliopsida; Malpighiales; Salicaceae
Exons: 3
Source: RefSeq, a predicted model, not a curated record